Molecule: ribosomal RNA, 681 nt
Filed under: Piromyces sp.
Lineage: Eukaryota; Fungi; Neocallimastigomycota; Neocallimastigomycetes; Neocallimastigales; Neocallimastigaceae
Description: partial large subunit ribosomal RNA
Rfam family: Eukaryotic large subunit ribosomal RNA
Source: RNAcentral
AACGGCGAGUGAAGCGGGAAGAGCUCAAAUUUGAAAUCUUCAAGGUUUUACCUUGACGAAUUGUAGUUUAAAGAAGUGUUUUCUGUUGAAGUUUUGGUAAAAGUUCUUUGGAAUAGGACAUCAUAGAGGGUGAGAAUCCCGUAUUUGACCAUUAUUUUCAGCUGUGUGAUACACUUUCAAAGAGUCGGAUUGUUUGGGAAUGCAGUCCAAAAUGGGUGGUAAAUUUCAUCUAAAGCUAAAUAUUGGCGAGAGACCGAUAGCGAACAAGUACCGUGAGGGAAAGAUGAAAAGAACUUUGAAAAGAGAGUUAAACAGUACGUGAAAUUGUCAAAAGGGAAGCGUUUGACACCAGUGUUGUUUUCUCGAAAAUCAAUUAAAAAAAGUUGGAUUUUGUGUUUGUAUGACCUUAACAGCUUCUUUCACUUUUUUCCUGCUUUUUUUAAUGCACUUUUCGUUUAACAAGUCAACAUCAGUUUCUUUUGUUGUAAAAAGGUCAUUGGAAGGUGGCUUUCUUUUCGGAGAAAGUGUUUAUAGCCUUUGACUCCUGCAAUCGGAGAGACUGAGGUCUGCAGCGUAGAUCCUUCGGGGUUAGAUACAUUUGUGCUAAGUUAUAGCUUUUCAUAGACAACUUGUUGACUAUGAUUAGUCAUGUAGCUUACUCGCUUAUGCUAUUUUACCUAC